AUGGAGGAGCGGAGAGGAGGCGGCGGCGGGGGCCGGGGCUCCGGCAAGGGGCCGGCGGCGGGGAAGAUGAUGUCGCUCAACGAGUUCGUCUCCUCCAUGGCGCCCCUCAUCGACCUGGAGAAGGCGGCGGAGAUAUCGGCGGAGUCGGAGGCGAGCUCCAAGAGGAAGGAGAGGCGGGGGUCCGUCAUGCCCAACCUCAAGUGCACCGACGCCCAGACGGGGCUGAUGGGGAAGACGCUCCUGGAGUUCCAGCCCAACAAGGGCGACGUGCUUCCACCUCACAAGUUUGGGACGCACGACGUGGUUGCCCUCAAGCCAAACAAAGCAGAUGCUGGAUCCCCUGCACUUGGGCAAGGUGUAGUUUAUCGCUUGAAGGAUUCUUCCAUUACCGUCGUUUUUGAUGAUAUUCCUGAAGAUGGAUUAAAUAGCCCUCUCCGUCUUGAGAAGCUUGCGAAUGAGGUUACUUACCGCAGGAUGAAGGAUGCAUUAAUUCAACUUAGCAAGGGCAUCCAAGCAGGACCUUCCGCAAACCUUGUUCCUGUGUUAUUUGGAGAGAACUCACCUAUGCGUUCCAAGGAUGCCGUGAAGUUCAGUCCAUUUAAUAAGAAUUUGGACGACUCGCAGAAAGAUGCUAUCUCGAAGGCCCUCAGAUCAAGGGAUGCUUUUUUGCUUCAUGGACCUCCUGGAACUGGGAAGACAACAACCAUCAUUGAGAUAAUAUUGCAGGAGGUCAAGCGUGGAGCGAAAAUUCUUGCUUGUGCUGCUUCCAACAUUGCUGUCGAUAACAUUGUUGAGCGACUCUCACAGUACAGAACAAAAUUGGUGAGGUUAGGGCAUCCUGCCCGUUUACUACCGCAAGUGUUGGACAGUGCUCUUGAUGCACAGGUACUGCGAGCAGAUAAUAGCAGCUUGGCCGGAGACAUUCGCAAGGAAAUGAAGGUGCUUAAUAGCAAAUUGCUGAAAGCUAAAGAUAGAAACACGAAAAGGGACAUCAGGAAAGAGCUUAAAACCCUUGCCAAAGAGGAGCGAAAACGGCAGCAGCUUGCAGUCGCUGAUGUCAUAAAAAAUGCAGAUGUUGUGCUGUCAACUUUGACAGGUGCAUCUUCCAAAAAGAUAGCUGGCAUUACAUUUGAUCUGGUAAUUAUUGAUGAGGCUGCUCAGGCACUCGAGGUGGCCUGUUGGAUAGCCUUACUGAAGGGUCAAAGGUGCGUGCUUGCUGGAGACCAUCUUCAACUUCCUCCAACGAUCCAAAGUGUUGAGGCUGAGAAGAAGGGUAUGGGAAAGACACUCUUUGAACGCCUUACUGAAGGUUAUGGAGAGGAAAUCACAUGCAUGCUCACUAUCCAGUACAGGAUGCACGAGCUAAUUAUGAACUGGUCAUCAAAAGAACUUUACAAUAAUAAGAUCAAAGCGCAUUCUAGUGUUGCUGGGCAUAUGCUCUAUGAUCUUGAAGGAGUGAAUAAAUCUUCUUCAACAGAACCAACUAUUAUACUUGUUGACACUACAGGGUGUGAUAUGGAAGAAGUGAAAGAUGAAGAGGAGAGCACCAUGAAUGAGGGCGAGGCUGCAGUAUCCAUUGCCCAUGCCAAGUUACUUGUUGAGAGUGGUGUCCGUGCAAUUGAUAUUGGCAUUAUUACUCCAUAUUCUGCACAGGUAACCUGCCUGAAAAUGCUGAGAAAUAAAGAUGCUAAAUUGAAGGACUUGGAAAUAUCAACGGUUGAUGGAUUUCAGGGUAGGGAGAAAGAGGCCAUAAUCAUUACAAUGGUCAGAUCCAACCCAAAGAAAGAGGUCGGGUUCUUGAGCGACCAUAGGCGGAUGAACGUCGCCGUGACACGAGCCAGGCGGCAGUGCUGCAUAGUGUGCGAUGCCGAGACCGUAAGCAGCGACAGAUUCCUGAAACGCUUGGUGGAGUACUUUGAGGAGAACGGCGAGUACCUGAGUGCGUCUGAGUACCAGAGCAGCUGA
RNAcentral lists this ribosomal RNA (1965 nucleotides) under Triticum aestivum (bread wheat). RNAcentral describes it as "partial small subunit ribosomal RNA". Lineage: Eukaryota; Viridiplantae; Streptophyta; Magnoliopsida; Poales; Poaceae. The record is from RNAcentral.